RNAcentral lists this long non-coding RNA (220 nucleotides) under Lathyrus oleraceus (garden pea). RNAcentral describes it as "Pisum sativum (pea) long non-coding RNA (PSAT_LNC017505)". Lineage: Eukaryota; Viridiplantae; Streptophyta; Magnoliopsida; Fabales; Fabaceae. The record is from RNAcentral.
UUUGAACGGUGGAUUUUCCAUCUUGGACAUUAGAUCCACAACAAAAGAGAGGCAAAAAAAAGUGAACCAGGAAAAAAAUUAAAGUUGAGAAACAGGGUUUCUCAUAACUCCCUAUCAUCGUCUUCCCUCAUCAUAUUUUCUCUCUCAGAAAUGAAAAAACCUUUACAACUAAAAACACUCAACCUUGCUUCAUCUCUCAACUCUUAACAACCCAUGUCCU